GCCGGAGUGGUGGAACAGGUAGACACGAGGGACUUAAAAUCCCUUGCCGAAUAGGCGUACGGGUUCGAUUCCCGUCUCUGGUACUA
This 86-nucleotide transfer RNA is filed under the name Hymenobacter crusticola. RNAcentral's name for it is "Hymenobacter sp. MIMBbqt21 tRNA-Leu". It matches the Rfam family "tRNA". From Rfam's summary of the family: Transfer RNA (tRNA) molecules are approximately 80 nucleotides in length. Their secondary structure includes four short double-helical elements and three loops (D, anti-codon, and T loops). The record is from RNAcentral. Lineage: Bacteria; Pseudomonadati; Bacteroidota; Cytophagia; Cytophagales; Hymenobacteraceae.